AAGAGAUCAAAUUAACCUUUCCUCUCUCUUUCUUGCUUUCGGCUGGGGAAAAUCAAAGGCAAACCAGAAUUUUUCAUCUUGUUUUUCUGAGAUUUAGCAAGGAAUCAAGGAGGAUUUAUCUAAGGGCAUCCAUCUAGCACGUGAAUUCCGUUCAGGUCGGCCAGCACACUUGAAUUCGGAAAACAGGUAAAGGAAAGGCGAAGGCUGAAUAGGAAUGAACCUGAGCUUGGGUGAGAUUGUACAUGUCAAGCGGCGCGACCUGGAGUGUUCGGUCUCGGGACAUCUGGGUGUUGUAUUUUGAAAGUCGCUGUGCGACCCAGAACUUGUAUAUUUUGAAUGUAAAGUUUAAACAGUAAAUUUUCAAAAGUUUGAAAUCGGGAUCCCGGAAUUUGUAAAUAUUAUAUUAUUUUACAAAGUUUAAUGUUUAAAGCAAAAAUUUUAAUUUGACA
Molecule: long non-coding RNA, 449 nt
Organism: Cannabis sativa
Lineage: Eukaryota; Viridiplantae; Streptophyta; Magnoliopsida; Rosales; Cannabaceae
Exons: 3
Source: RefSeq, a predicted model, not a curated record